Molecule: ribosomal RNA, 704 nt
Filed under: Brevibacterium sp. N311
Lineage: Bacteria; Bacillati; Actinomycetota; Actinomycetes; Micrococcales; Brevibacteriaceae
Description: bacterial SSU rRNA
Rfam family: Bacterial small subunit ribosomal RNA
Source: RNAcentral
CCUGGCUCAGGAUUAGAUACCCUGAUAGUCAUGAGUUUUAACCUGGCUCAGGAUUAAAUACCCUGAUAUUUAUUAUUUUUAACUUUUAUAAAAAUUAAAAAAACUAAAACUAAUACCUUUAUACCACUGCCGCACGCAUGACUGAUGGAGGAAAGUUUUUUCGGUUGGGGAUGGGCUCGCGGCCUAUCAGUUUGUUGGUGAGGUAAUGGCUCACCAAGACGACGACGGGUAGCCGGCCUGAGAGGGCGACCGGCCACACUGGGACUGAGACACGGCCCAGACUCCUACGGGAGGCAGCAGUGGGGAAUAUUGCACAAUGGGGGAAACCCUGAUGCAGCGACGCAGCGUGCGGGAUGACGGCCUUCGGGUUGUAAACCGCUUUCAGCAGGGAAGAAGCGCAAGUGACGGUACCUGCAGAAGAAGUACCGGCUAACUACGUGCCAGCAGCCGCGGUAAUACGUAGGGUACGAGCGUUGUCCGGAAUUAUUGGGCGUAAAGAGCUCGUAGGUGGUUGGUAACGUUUAUUGUGGUAACGCAGCGCAUAACUUUGAGCGUUCAGUGGUUAGGGGUUUCCUAGGGUUCAGUAGUUAAAUCCCUUAGUAGUCCUGAGUUUGAUCAGGGCGCAGGAUUAAAAACCCUGGUAGUCAUGAGUUUGAUCCGGGCUCAGGAUUAGAUACCCUGGUAGUCAUGAGUUUGAUCCUGUC